AUGUUUUUUUUAUAUAAAAAUUUCAUUUUUGAGGUUUUUGGGGGGCUUGUUUAUGACAAUACAUGUAAAAUCUAGGGUUGGGCAUUUGCACGAAAAACGGGGCACACUGACUGAACAGAAACGACCACGCCAACUUAUCUUCUUUUUCCUUCUUCUCCUCUUCUCCACCGCCGCUGCUCAUCUCUCUCUCUCUCUCUCUCUCUCUCUUCCCCCAGAUCUGCUCGGGCUAAUCAUCUAGUUGAAUCUUGUCGUUUGGUCCAUUCUGCUCUUUUUUCUCUUUAUCUCCGCCACUAG
RNAcentral lists this long non-coding RNA (294 nucleotides) under Prunus dulcis (almond). Its description in RNAcentral is "sRNA ncRNA". The record is from RNAcentral. Lineage: Eukaryota; Viridiplantae; Streptophyta; Magnoliopsida; Rosales; Rosaceae.